RNAcentral lists this ribosomal RNA (253 nucleotides) under uncultured bacterium. Its description in RNAcentral is "partial 16S ribosomal RNA". It matches the Rfam family "Bacterial small subunit ribosomal RNA", at positions 524 to 776 of the family's 1533-position model. The record is from RNAcentral.
UACAGAGGUGGCGAGCGUUACUCGGAUUUAUUGGGUGUAAAGGGCAAGUAGGCGUCUUAACAAGUUGGGGGUGAAAUCCUGCAGCUCAACUGCAGAACUGCUCUCAAAACUGUUGAGAUUGAGACUGGAAGAGGAAAGCGGAAUUCUCGGUGUAAGAGUGAAAUCUGUAGAUAUCGAGAGGAACACCAGUGGCGAAGGCGGCUUUCUGGUCCAGUACUGACGCUGAGUUGCGAAAGCUAGGGGAGCAAACAGG